Octodon degus (degu) is the source of this 1378-nucleotide RNA transcript. It is a transcript of the gene named elongation factor 1-alpha 1 pseudogene, with no coding region annotated. The transcript has a single exon. NCBI's taxonomy places the organism in Eukaryota, Metazoa, Chordata, Mammalia, Rodentia, Octodontidae. The record is from RefSeq and is a predicted model, not a curated record.
AUGGGAAAGGAAAAGACUCACAUUAAUAUUGUCAUCAUUGGACACGUGGACUCUGGCAAAUCCACCACCACUGGCCAUCUGAUCUACAAAUGUAGUAGCAUCGACAAAAGAACCAUUGAAAAAUUUGAGAAGGAGGCUGCUGAGGUGGGGAAGGGUUCCUUCAAGCAUGCCUGGGUGUUGGACAAGCUGAAAGCCAAGUGUGAGCGUGGUGUCACCAUUGACAUCUCCCUGUGGAAAUUUGAGACCAGCAAGUACUAUGUGACCAUCACUGAUGCCCCUGGACACAGAGACUUCAUCAAAAACAUGACUAUAGGCACAUCUCAGGCUGACUGUGCUCUCCUGAUUGUUGCUGCUGGUGUUGGUGAAUUCGAAGCUGGUAUCUCUAAGAACGGGCAGACCCAUGAGCAUGUCCUUCUGGCUUACACGCUGGGUGUGAAACAACUAAUUGUUGGUGUUAACAAAAUGGAUUCCACAGAGCCACCCUACAGCCAGAAGAGAUACGAGGAAAUUGUUAAGGAAGUCAGCACCUACAUUAAGAAAACUGGCUACAACCCUGACACUGCAGCUUUUGUGCCAAUUUCUGGUUGGAAUGGUGACAGCAUGCUGGAGCCAAGUGCUAACACGCCUUGGUUCAAAGGAUGGAAGGUCACUUGUAAAGAUGGCAAUGCCAGUGGAUCCAUAUUGCUUGAAACUUUGGAUUGCAUCCUCCUACCCACUUACCCAACUGACAAGCCUUUGUGGCUGCCCCUCCAGAAUGUCUACAAAAUCAGUGGUAUUGAUGCAGUCCCUGUGGGCUCAGUGGAGACUAGUGUUCUCAAACCUGGCACGGUGGUCACCUUUGCCCCAGUCAGUGUCACAGCUGAAGUCAAGUCUGUCGAAAUGCACUAUGAAGUUUUGAGUGAAGCCCUUCCUGGGGACAAUGUGGGCUUCACUGUCAAGUAUGUGUCUGUUAAAGAUGUCUAGUGUGGCAAUGUGGCCGGUGACAGCAAAAAUGACCCACCAAAGGAAGCAGCUGGUUUCACUGCUCAGGUGAUUAUCUUGAACCAUCCUGGCCAGAUCAGUACUGGCUACUUUCCUGUCCUGGAUUGUCACACAGCUCACAUUGCUUGCAAGUUUGCUGAGCUGAAAGAAAAGAUUGAUCGCUGGUCUGGUAAGAAGCUGGAAGAUGGGCCCAAGUUUUUGAAAUCUGGUGAUCCUGCCAUUGUUGACAUGGUUCCAUGUGUGUCGAGAACUUCUCUGACUACCCACUUCUGGGUCAUUUCACUGUUCAUGAUGUGAGACAGACAGUUGUUGGGGGUGUCAUCAAAGCUGUGGACAAGAAGGCUGCUGGAGCUGGCAAGGUCACAAGUCUGCCCAGAAAGCUCAGAAGGCUAAAUGA